RNAcentral lists this long non-coding RNA (375 nucleotides) under Prunus dulcis (almond). RNAcentral's name for it is "sRNA ncRNA". Lineage: Eukaryota; Viridiplantae; Streptophyta; Magnoliopsida; Rosales; Rosaceae. The record is from RNAcentral.
AUGCCUUUGCUAGUAAUUCUUUUACUAACAACAAGUUCUGUGGGUGGUGCUUUCAACUUUCCUAAGCAUACAGCCGUCAGAAUCACCAACUUGUUAGAAAGCAACGUGGACUUGACGGUGCACUGUAAAUCAAAUGACAACGACCUCGGGGAGCACACAAUUCGUCCAAGGGAAGAGUAUGAGUUUGAUUUUAAAACGAAUAUUUUUGGAACAACACUCUUCUUCUGCGGGUUUAAAUGGUCGAAUGAAUUUCAUUGGUUCGAUGUUUUCAGAACUAACAGGGAUGAUUGCAGCAGUUGCUUUUGGUCUAUAAUUGAAGCUGGCCCUUGCUUGUAUGGUGUUGAUGGUAUCUGCUAUCAGUGGAACAAGCAUUAG